Molecule: long non-coding RNA, 5832 nt
Organism: Callithrix jacchus (white-tufted-ear marmoset)
Lineage: Eukaryota; Metazoa; Chordata; Mammalia; Primates; Cebidae
Source: RefSeq, a predicted model, not a curated record
CUCUGUUGCCAGGCUGGAGUGCAGUGGCGCUAUCUUGGCUCACUGCAACCUCUGCCUCCAGGUCUCAAGCGAUUCUCCUGCCUCAGCCUCUGAGUAGCUGGGACUACAGGUUCAUGCCACCACGCCCAGCUAAUUUUCGUAUUUUUAGUAGAGAUGGGGUUUCACCGUGUUGGCCAGGAUGGUCUUGAUCUCUUGACCUCGUGAUCUGCCUGCCUUGGCCUCCCAAAGUGCUGGGAUUACAGGUAUGAGCCACCACACCCGGCCCUCCUUCAUUCUUUAGGCUAUCUUUUGACUGUCUUCAUAAUGUCCUGUGAUGCACAACAGUUUCUAAUUUUUGUGCAGUGCAGUUUAACAAAUGUGAGCAAAAGGGAUGAGUGUAAUUUCUGGACUGCAACCCUAGAAAGCACUGUGCCUGCUUCCUCUGCCCUCUCCUUCCCUACUGGCUGGGAGAUACUGAGAAUUUUAACAUCCCCCUUUGCCCCAAAGACGGAUACUACCCAUGCUGGAAGGCAGAGCUAUCCCAUUAGCCCUGGACUGCUCAGCUUGAGACUCUUACACAAGGCAGAAAUAAACAUGGUAUUCAGGUCACUUAAUAUGUAUUUUAGGAUCUUUGCUAUAUCACCUUAACCUAUACUCUAAUUUUACAACUACAGUGUGGCAUACAAAUAUUACCAUUUUCUGGUUGUGCCGUGGUGAAGGCUGGGAAGGACUAUGACAUGGACCAUUUGUUCUUGGUCCCUUUUGCUGACCCUUCCUUCUCACUGCCAUCAAGUGGAGAAUCCUUUCCUCCAUACCAUCCAGGUAGUUGGUUUAGUCUGGUCCCAAAGAUAAAGGUCAAAUACCCCAACUCUUGCAGAAAAUUUGAGCAUAUAUUGGCCAUAGGAAGCCAUUGCCUUGCCUUGGGUAGCACAUGCGAUAAAGGUUGGUGAGCCCCGAGCACAUGCGAUAAAGGUUGGUGAGCCCUGGUGCUGGACAUCCCCAAAUAAAUCCCCAGGGGCCCGACACCCAUGAAAGACUACUUGCAUCAUGGGUUGUCCUGACAUAAGAGUUCCCCGAAGACUUCCCUUCCUAGCUGGGAAUCAGGAGUUCCAACUCCUCCAAAGAGAGAUAUUUUCAUAGUUGUUCCCUCAGUCCUCACGGCCUCUUUUUCCUGCUCUGGCUGGCUUGGGACGCCAGAAAAACUGAGUCUCCCGUUUAUCUUCCAGCCUCUGAGCACCGUUAUGAUGCAGUGAGAUGCCCAAAUUAAGGUGAAUUGCAGGUCUGACUUCUUGGCUUGUUGGUUCCCUUGGACAUGCAUCCUCAGAGAGCUCUUCUCCCAGGUGUAGCCUCCAACCCUCGGGCUUCCUGACAGCAGCACCUUCAGCUGAGCUGGUGGGCAAGAGCUCCUUAGAACCCUUCCUUCCUCCCUCUGCUCGGCCCUUCCUCUCCCCACAUCGCUUCUUCCCGGUGCAGGGGCAGCGGCUGGGGCCUCAGCCUUAGUACUUCCAGCUGAACCCUGGGAUGGCGCGGGACUGUAGCUCUAGGAAGUAUCUGAGCCUGCACGCGGUUUGCAUCAUUGGGAGCACGCGCCUCGCCCUCUGAACUACGAGCCCCAUAACCCUUCGCGACAAGCGUUUCCCGCCUUUCCCCUUUCAUUUCCCAGAGGCCAUUGCAGGCCGGUCCUGGCCCUGGGGCUGCGGUCCCCGUGUUCCCAGGGUGAAUGAAGGCGUGCGAGGCGCUGCUGCUUGUACCCAGGAGAACCAGGUGGAGUGUCUCUCUGUCACCAGGCUGGAGUGCAGUGGUGCGAUCUCAGCUCACUGCAACCUCCACCUCCUGGAUUCAAGCAAUUCUCCUGCCUCAGCCUUCUGAGUAGCUGGGACUACAGGCUGGAUUGAAGAUUACCCCACAGCCUCUGAGUCUGCCGGGACAGUGGCCACUCAUCUCAUUCAAGACAUCAUCCCAUGCUUUGGACUCCCGGCCACCAUACAGUCAGACAACGGCCCAGCCUUUAUCUCCAAAGUCACUAAUGCUGUUUCUACCUCUCUAGGAAUUCAGUGGAAGCUACACGCCGCCUACCAUCCUAAGUCCUCUGGUAAGGUGGAACGGGCCAAUGGCCUAAUAAAGGAGCAUCUGACCAAGCUCAUGCUUGAGCUCCGCCAAUCCUGGGUAACUUUGCUUCCUAUCGCCCUCACCAGGUUAAGAGCAAGCUCCCGAGGCCCAUCACAGCUUAGCCCGUUUGAGCUGCUGUACGGUCGCCCCUUCCUACUUUCAACUCCCCCACCGCCAGAAACCACUCCUCUAGACAUUUACCUCCCCUACUUUACUCUUCUUCGAAACCUUCUCCCACAGCACGCAGACACCUCUUCCCCAACCCACCCAGCCAUCCGAGAGUACACAAAAAGUCUCCCCCGGAGACUUAAUUCUUAUUAAAUCCCUCUCCCCAAAGCCCCUCGCCCCCAAGUGGGAGGGACCAUAUACUGUCAUCCUCACUACUCCAUCAGCCAUAAAAGUCGCUGAAGUCCCAUCCUGGGUUCACCUGUCUCGGUUAAAAAAGGCCCCUCAUGGACCCUCCUCAUGCUGGAAGGCUGUUCCUACUGGCCCUUUAUCUGUCAAACUUACCAGGGCCUAGCAGCCACACCCCCUACAGAUGGAGAUUUUUCCUAACUGAAAACUAUACCAAAACCACCUUUAUCUGUAACACCCCCCCCAUACAGCCACAACCAUCUUCUUGCAACUGCUGACUGCCCCGCAGCCGGGUGCCAAAGCGCCAUAUACCUAAACUUCACUAAAUUCUACAAUGUCCAUGAAGGAAUUGGGGUUUUACCUGUCAUAUGUUUCAAUUAUGACCAACCAUCAGGAAGAUGCAGUGAUACUCCCUGGAGCUCCUGAAUGGGCUGCACCUGGGGUGAUUGCUCUCUGCAUGCAGCCCUUGACAUACAGCGGCACCCAAACAUUCCUGCCUGGCUCAAAAUUGUUCCAGACGUAGAUGGAGAAGGAAAUGUCAAAACCGGUUAUACACGGUAUUCUCUUCUCAUACCUGACCCUUGGAAUGACCAGUGGAAAAGCCCCCAGAAAGCUGCCCUAUAUGACCUCGGCACCACCACAUAUCCCUCUUCCCACCUGUAUAUUUGGCGGGCAUAGGUACGUACGGUCCACCAAGUCCAUUCCGCUAUUAACCUACAAGAAAAAUCUCUAAAUAACCAAUUGCAACCACACUCGUCUCCGUUUUCCUGGCUAACCUUUCUCAAAGAAGUAAUCAAAUUAGCUAACCUCUCAGGAUUAACUGACCUAACCUCAUGCCUCAUGUGUGCCUCCUUAGGACAGACUCCCUUCGUCGCAGUCCCCUACCCCAUCCCUCUCAACCUUUCAGCCUCAACUUCUCCCUUCUCCCCCAUCAAGGAAGUAAAUCUCUACACUCCACCUGAUUUUACACAGCUACCAGUAUGCUACUCCCUAGGCCGGAACUACUCCAACUGUAACAAAACCAUACUGGUAACCACCAAUCUGACAGCUCCAAAGGGAACUUUCUUCUGGUGUAACAGAACCCUCACAAAAACUCUCCACACCGGCCAGUCCCCAACUCCCUUAUGGCUCCCAGUGACCUUAGUCCCCCAACUCACUAUAUAUUCCUCAGCCGAAUUCCAAAUGCUACAAGCACCGCUCCACCGCACCAGGCGAGCUGCUUUUCUGCCCCUAGCUGUAGGCAUCUCCCUAGUAACCUCGGCACUUGCAGCUGGAUUGGGAGGAGGAGCACUAACCCAUUCUCAACAAGCUAUAGCCCAGCUAACCUCACAAUUCCAAACUGCUGUUGAUGACUCUACUGAGUCAUUAGCAUUGCUCCAACGACAGAUUACCUCAGUUGCCCAAGUUGCCUUACAGAACCGAAGAGCCCUGGAUCUGCUCACCGUCAAACGAGGAGGAACCUGUAUCUUCCUACAGGAAGAGUGCUGUUACUACAUCAAUGAAUCUGGCCUAGUAGAAACCCAAAUCGAGAACCUCCAGAAACUCAAAACUAAUCUGCAGAAUCAAAAACUCUCAGCUGAAGCCACGGCGUGGUGGUCUUACUCUAUGUAUACCCUCUUGUCCCCGUUGCUUGGGCCCCUAAUAGCCGUUUGCCUAAUCUUACUUAUUGCUCCUUGCUUUCUACAGUUCCUACAGCGGCGCUUCAAGAACUAACUCGAGUCACCAUCCACCAGAUGCUGCUCCAACCUUACCCUGAAUUAGUGCUAGAAGCGGACCUCUCCCUGAACAUCCAGACUCCUUAGGAAAAGAAACCUCUUCAGAACCCCCCGUCGACCCUUGUCAGCAGGAAGUAGCCAGAGAGACAACCAACGCCCCUGACCCCCUCUUUUCUUCUUUUCUUUUAAGGAGUCGGGAAUGUUUGGAAAAUUCUGCCCCUAUCGUGAAAGCUCUCUUUCCCUCCCCCACAAAAAGGCUCCCUUAUCUCUCACUCUACAUACCGCUCUAGCCUUCCCGCCCGGCCGCAGCCACCUCCUGCCCGGCAACCGGCUGACCAAUCACCGCCUGCCUCAUCAGCACUCCCCAGUUUCCCGCCGCCCAGCUUCCCGCCCAGCGGUUUAAACUGACCAACCGUUGCCCACCACCUCGGCUCUCUCGGCUUCCCCACUCCCCCGGCCCUUCAGCCCCCUAUAAAAGAACCCUGCUCCUCUGAGCAGCGCGGCCAUUUUCCUCUUCUUCCCGGCUGGCCCGCCCCGAGGCUCUUUCCUCUCAAUAAAGCCUGAACCUAAGACUUUCUUCUAACCUGCGGUCCGGUCUUUUUCGAACAAGCUCAGUCCUCCCGCAGAGGGUAGGUCAGACAUAAUAUGUUUAUAUGACAAAGUUCUGGACAGUGAGAUGAAAGGACUGCAUGCAGCUGCUGCUAAGUGAGCAUAAAGGCAUGAGGCGUACCUUUUCUCCCAGGUUUCCGCCUUCCUAUAGACUGGUAAGUAAAUGUGAUGGUUAGAGCAAAUACAGCUAUUUGGGGUAAUGAGGUAGAAGCCAACUACUGAGAACGGCAGACCAAUGAAAGAGAAAGAGUUUGGUUCUUCUGCCUUUUGGAGCUAAAGGACCAGCCCUGAACUUCAACAUGAGAGACAAACUUCUGUCUUGUUUAAGCAAAGGUUAUCUCGGCUUUCUAUCACAGGUAGUCAAGUGUAAUACAAACAGACUAAUAUGUUCAUGCCGUGUCUGGCCAUCCUUUGGCAGCUAUCAAGGUGUGCUCCUUAAAUCCUCUUUCAGGGAAUCCACUGAGAGAAUCCUAGUUGGCAGCCUCUAGCUGCUCCACUUUUGUGCUGAUGCCAUGAUACACCAACGCUGCCUCCAGCCAAACACUCAGCUUAGUGAGGCUCGUCAAGUCUGGACUAUGGUUUCUUCUAGUGGGAAAGCUUUUGUCAGCAGCUCCCCUUUGGCCUGGCUGAGACUUUCUCACAGCUUCAGGGUGGUCUGAGUUGGCAGAAAAAAAGGAUUAGUAAACUUGAAGACAGAUCAAUAGAAAUGAUGCAAUCUGAAGAAGAGACAGAAAUAAGCAUGAAGAAAAAUGAAUACAGGCUGGACACAGAGGCUCAUGCCUGUAAUCUCAGUGCUUUGGGUGGCCAAGGUGAGAGGAUCACUUGAGACUAGGAGUUCAAGACCAGUGUCAGCAAGAUGGUGAGAUCCUAUUUCUACCAAAAAUUUUAAAAAUUAGCCAGUUUGGUGGCACAUGCCUGUAGUCCUAGCCACUCAGGAGACUGAGGCGGGAGGAUUGCUUUAGUCCAAGAGUUCAAGGUUAUAGUAAGCUAUAAUUGUGUCACUGCACUUCAGCCUGGGUGACAGAGUGAGACCUUAUCUCAAAAAAAGAAUAUAGACUCAUAGCCU